CCCGACUGCUAUCAGAGUGAGAUUAAGCCAUGCGAGUCAACGUAUGAAUAAUACGUGGCGAACGGCUCAGUAACACGUAGUCAACAUGCCCAGAGGACGUGGAUAAACUCGGGAAACUGAGGCUAAACCGCGAUAGACCAAGAUACCUGGAAUGGUUUUUGAUCAAAAUCUAUAUGGCCUUUGGAUUGGACUGCGACCGAUCAGGCUGUUGGUGAGGUAAUGGCCCACCAAACCAGUAACCGGUACGGGCUCUGAGAGGAGGAGCCCGGAGAUGGGUACUGAGAAAAGGACCCAGGCCCUAUGGGGCGCAGCAGGCGCGAAACCUCUGCAAUAGGCGAAAGCCUGACAGGGUUAUUCUGGGUGACUUUCGCUAAGAAAGUCUUUUGACAUCUCUAAAAAUGGUGUAGAAUAAGGGGUGGGCAAGUCUGGUGUCAGCCGCCGCGGUAAUACCAGCACCCCGAGUGGUCGGGACGAUUAUUGGGCCUAAAGCAUCCGUAGCCGGUUUUACAAGUCCUCCGUUAAAUCCAACUGCUUAACAGAUGGGCCGCGGAGGAUACUAUAAGACUAGGAGGCAGGAGAGGCAAGCGGUACUCAGUGGGUAGGGGUAAAAUCCGUUGAUCCAUUGAAGACCACCAGUGGCGAAGGCGGCUUGCCAGAAUGCGCUCGACGGUGAGGGAUGAA
RNAcentral lists this ribosomal RNA (681 nucleotides) under uncultured archaeon. RNAcentral describes it as "bacterial SSU rRNA". It matches the Rfam family "Archaeal small subunit ribosomal RNA", at positions 21 to 708 of the family's 1478-position model. The record is from RNAcentral.